AAUCAACGUUGGCGGCGCGCUUAACACAUGCAAGUCGAACGAGAAAGUGGAGCAAUCCAUGAGUACAGUGGCGUACGGGUGAGUAACACGUGGGUAAUCUACCUUUUGGUGGGGAAUAACCCUGGGAAACCGGGGCUAAUACCGCAUAAGUCCGCAAGGAGAAAGUCGCAAGACGCCGAUAGAGGAGCCCGCGGCCGAUUAGCUAGUUGGCAGGGUAAAGGCCUACCAAGGCUGUGAUCGGUAGCCGGCCUGAGAGGGCACACGGCCACACUGGCACUGAAACACGGGCCAGACUCCUACGGGAGGCAGCAGUGGGGAAUCUUGCACAAUGGGGGAAACCCUGAUGCAGCGACGCCGCGUGAGUGAUGAAGCCCUUCGGGGUGUAAAGCUCUUUCGACAGGAACGAUAAUGACGGUACCUGGAGAAGAAGCUGCGGCUAACUACGUGCCAGCAGCCGCGGUAAUACGUAGGCAGCAAACGUUGUUCGGAAUUACUGGGCGUAAAGAGUGU
This 510-nucleotide ribosomal RNA is filed under the name uncultured bacterium. Its description in RNAcentral is "bacterial SSU rRNA". It matches the Rfam family "Bacterial small subunit ribosomal RNA", at positions 28 to 570 of the family's 1533-position model. The record is from RNAcentral.